CAGGCUUAACACAUGCAAGUCGAGGGGCAGCAUGGUCUUAGCUUGCUAAGGCCGAUGGCGACCGGCGCACGGGUGAGUAACACGUAUCCAACCUGCCGUCUACUCUUGGACAGCCUUCUGAAAGGAAGAUUAAUACAAGAUGGCAUCAUGAGUCCGCAUGUUCACAUGAUUAAAGGUAUUCCGGUAGACGAUGGGGAUGCGUUCCAUUAGAUAGUAGGCGGGGUAACGGCCCACCUAGUCUUCGAUGGAUAGGGGUUCUGAGAGGAAGGUCCCCCACAUUGGAACUGAGACACGGUCCAAACUCCUACGGGAGGCAGCAGUGAGGAAUAUUGGUCAAUGGGCGAGAGCCUGAACCAGCCAAGUAGCGUGAAGGAUGACUGCCCUAUGGGUUGUAAACUUCUUUUAUAAAGGAAUAAAGUCGGGUAUGGAUACCCGUUUGCAUGUACUUUAUGAAUAAGGAUCGGCUAACUCCGUGCCAGCAGCCGCGGUAAUACGGAGGAUCCGAGCGUUAUCCGGAUUUAUUGGGUUUAAAGGGAGCGUAGAUGGAUGUUUAAGUCAGUUGUGAAAGUUUGCGGCUCAACCGUAAAAUUGCAGUUGAUACUGGAUAUCUUGAGUGCAGUUGAGGCAGGCGGAAUUCGUGGUGUAGCGGUGAAAUGCUUAGAUAUCACGAAGAACUCCGAUUGCGAAGGCAGCCUGCUAAGCUGCAACUGACAUUGAGGCUCGAAAGUGUGGGUAUCAAACAGGAUUAGAUACCCUGGUAGUCCACACGGUAAACGAUGAAUACUCGCUGUUUGCGAUAUACAGCAAGCGGCCAAGCGAAAGCGUUAAGUAUUCCACCUGGGGAGUACGCCGGCAACGGUGAAACUCAAAGGAAUUGACGGGGGCCCGCACAAGCGGAGGAACAUGUGGUUUAAUUCGAUGAUACGCGAGGAACCUUACCCGGGCUUAAAUUGCAGAUGAAUUACGGUGAAAGCCGUAAGCCGCAAGGCAUCUGUGAAGGUGCUGCAUGGUUGUCGUCAGCUCGUGCCGUGAGGUGUCGGCUUAAGUGCCAUAACGAGCGCAACCCUUGUUGUCAGUUACUAACAGGUUCCGCUGAGGACUCUGACAAGACUGCCAUCGUAAGAUGUGAGGAAGGUGGGGAUGACGUCAAAUCAGCACGGCCCUUACGUCCGGGGCUACACACGUGUUACAAUGGGGGGUACAGAGGGCCGCUACCACGCGAGUGGAUGCCAAUCCCCAAAACCUCUCUCAGUUCGGACUGGAGUCUGCAACCCGACUCCACGAAGCUGGAUUCGCUAGUAAUCGCGCAUCAGCCACGGCGCGGUGAAUACGUUCCCGGGCCUUGUACACACCGCCCGUCAAGCCAUGGGAGCCGGGGGUACCUGAAGUGCGUAACCGCGAGGAGCGCCCUAGGGUAAAACUGGUGACUGGGGCUAAGUCAUAACAA
This 1447-nucleotide ribosomal RNA is filed under the name uncultured organism. RNAcentral's name for it is "16S ribosomal RNA". It matches the Rfam family "Bacterial small subunit ribosomal RNA". The record is from RNAcentral.